This 253-nucleotide ribosomal RNA is filed under the name uncultured bacterium. Its description in RNAcentral is "partial 16S ribosomal RNA". It matches the Rfam family "Bacterial small subunit ribosomal RNA", at positions 524 to 776 of the family's 1533-position model. The record is from RNAcentral.
UACGUAGGGGGCAAGCGUUGUCCGGAAUCAUUGGGCGUAAAGAGCGCGUAGGCGGCCCAGUAAGUCCGCUCUGGAAGUCAGGGGCUCAACCCCUGAAUGCGGGUGGAUACUGCUGGGCUAGAGUCCGGAAGAGGCGAGUGGAAUUCCUGGUGUAGCGGUGAAAUGCGCAGAUAUCAGGAGGAACACCUAUGGCGAAGGCAGCUCGCUGGGACGGUACUGACGCUGAGGCGCGAAAGCGUGGGGAGCGAACAGG